GCGGUAUCGAAAGCUUGCUUUCGGUAGCCGGCGACCGGCGCACGGGUGAGUAACGCGUAUCGAACCUGCCUCAUACUCGGGAAUAGCCUUGCGAAAGUAAGAUUAAUGCCCGGUGUUUUCAGAGUCCCGCAUGAGGCUUUGAACAAAGAUUUAUCGGUAUGAGAUGGCGAUGCGUCCCAUUAGCUUGUUGGCGGGGUAACGGCCCACCAAGGCAUCGAUGGGUAGGGGUUCUGAGAGGAAGGUCCCCCACAUUGGAACUGAGACACGGUCCAAACUCCUACGGGAGGCAGCAGUGAGGAAUAUUGGUCAAUGGGCGGAAGCCUGAACCAGCCAAGUAGCGUGCAGGAAGACGGCCCUCCGGGUUGUAAACUGCUUUUAGUUGGGAAUAAAACGGGGCUCGUGAGCCCCCUUGCAUGUACCAUCAGAAAAAGGACCGGCUAAUUCCGUGCCAGCAGCCGCGGUAAUACGGAAGGUUCGGGCGUUAUCCGGAUUUAUUGGGUUUAAAGGGAGCGCAGGCGGACCUUCAAGUCAGCUGUGAAAUACGGCGGCUCAACCGUCGAACUGCAGUUGAUACUGGAGGUCUUGAGUGCACACAGGGAUGCUGGAAUUCAUGGUGUAGCGGUGAAAUGCUCAGAUAUCGUGAAGAACUCCGAUCGCGAAGGCAGGCAUCCGGGGUGCAACUGACGCUGAGGCUCGAAAGUGCGGGUAUCAAACAGGAUUAGAUACCCUGGUAGUCCGCACAGUAAACGAUGAAUACUCGCGGUUUGCGAUACAUUGUAAGCCGCCAAGCGAAAGCGUUAAG
This 802-nucleotide ribosomal RNA is filed under the name uncultured bacterium. RNAcentral describes it as "bacterial SSU rRNA". It matches the Rfam family "Bacterial small subunit ribosomal RNA", at positions 66 to 864 of the family's 1533-position model. The record is from RNAcentral. RNAcentral also lists the same sequence under 1 other name.